Molecule: long non-coding RNA, 6182 nt
Filed under: Sorghum bicolor (sorghum)
Lineage: Eukaryota; Viridiplantae; Streptophyta; Magnoliopsida; Poales; Poaceae
Description: long non-coding RNA (SBIC_LNC009772)
Source: RNAcentral
UCAUGAUCAAUAUGACUUUGAACCUCGUGGCGGUGGCUUUGCUUCUCAGUCCCACAGCUCUAGCGGACCACGUUUUCCCUUUCGUGGUGAUCGCUUUCCUCAAAUGGGACAUGGCAUGCUUGGUGUUUUUCCUAACACUUUUCCAGGGCAAAUGACCCAACACUGGUAUCCUUCACAGUUUACUAACCCCAGUGUUGCGCCAUUUGCUCACCCCAUGUCUUUCUAUUGAUGCAGAUCGGAGGCCUGGAGAACACGUGGCUUGUUGAUUCCGGUUGUUCGCGCCACAUGACCGGAAGUUCAAAAUGGUUCUCCAGCCUCGACCCCGUGCAAUGUAAGGAAUACAUCACAUUUGGGGACAACAGCAAAGGUAAAGUGCUUUCUCGUGGGACCAUUCGGGUCAAUGAGAAUUUUGUCUUGAAGGAUGUUGCUUUGGUUUCGAAUUUGCAUUUUAAUUUGCUUUCGGUUUCGCAACUCCUUCAGGAUGGUUUUGAGGUGCGUUUUAAGACCGGCUUGUCUCGAGUUCUUGAUUCUCAGGGAAAUCUUGUUUGCCAGAUUGUCCCUUUUGGUCGUGUCUUUCGAGCCGAUUUUUCUUACUCUUUUGGCUCUUCUCGUUGUCUUGUGGCUGGAUCCUCUUCUGAUCUUUGGAAAUGGCAUAGGAGACUUGGUCAUUUGAGCUUUGACUUACUAGCUAGGUUGAGCUCACUUGACUUAAUCCGAGGAUUGCCCAAAUUGAAAUUUGAGAAGGAUUUGGUUUGUCACCCUUGUCGUCAUGGGAAGAUGGUUGCCGCUUCUCACCCUCCUGUGACUCAGGUCAUGACCAAGGGACCCGGUGAGCUACUUCAUAUGGACACAGUUGGUCCGGCUCGGGUUCGGUCAGAGGGAGGGAAGUGGUAUGUUCUAGUGAUUGUGGAUGACUUUUCUCGCUACUCUUGGGUGUUUUUCAUGGAGGGUAAGGAUGAGGCUUUUUCUCAUGUUCGAGACUUGAUUCUUCGGUUACAAACUGAGUUGCCUAAGAAUGCCAUGAGAGCUAUACGCAGUGACAAUGGCACAGAAUUCAAAAACACUCAGUUUGAUACCUUCUGUGCUUCUUUGGGCCUCGAGCAUCAGUUUUCCUCUCCUUAUGUUCCCCAGCAAAAUGGUGUUGUUGAGCGCAAAAAUCGGACCCUUGUUGAGAUGGCCAGGACGAUGCUCGAUGAGCAUAGGACUCCUAGGAGAUAUUGGGCCGAGGCGAUCAACACCGCCUGUCAUGUCUCCAAUCGCAUUUUUCUUCGAGCCUUCUUGAAAAAGACUUCUUAUGAGUUGCGAUUUGGUAGACUACCCAAGGUAAGUCACUUUAGGGUGUUUGGUUGCAAGUGUUUCAUCUUGAAGCAAGGUAAUUUGGAUAAAUUUGAGUCCAGGUCCUCCGACGGUAUUUUUCUUGGUUAUGCUUCUCAUUCUCAUGCAUAUCGUGUACUUAACCUUGAAACUAACCGAGUCGUGGAGACCUGUGAGGUCACAUUCGAUGAGACUAUGCCUUGUUCUUCUCCUGUUUUUGAAUGUGCAGGUGAUCAGGAGAUUGGUGAGAGCAUCUUUGUUGAGGAUGAUGCAGAAGAUGCCGAUUGGGGUGAUCCCGAGCCGACACCACUGGCUGCCCCUCUCGCGUCUUCGACGACUACUUCGGCUGACGGCCCCGAUCCUUCUUCUUCUUCCACUACUUGGGGUCCGGUCGAGCAGCCUCCUCAGCCUACACCGGCUGUCCCUGAGGAGGCCCCAGCUGCAGUUGAGGGGGAGGCGACUUCUUCAAGGGAAGCACCUCGACACAUUCAGCGUCGCCAUCCACCUCAGACCAUGAUUGGUGGAAUUGACCAGCGAGUCACGCGGUCCAGGUCAUAUCACAUCUCACACUUCGCUCAUUCUGCUUUUGUUGCUUCUUUUGAGCCUCGAGAUGUUGGACACGCACUAUCUAAUCCUGAUUGGGUUAAUGCUAUGCAUGAGGAGUUAGAAAAUUUUGAGAGAAACAAGGUUUGGGUUUUAGUACCACUUCCACCAGAUUGCCAUCCCAUAGGUACCAAGUGGGUUUUCAAAAACAAACAGAGUGAAGAUGGGGUGGUAGUGAGGAACAAGGCUAGGUUGGUAGCUCAGGGUUUUUGUCAGAAAGAGGGGAUAGACUAUGAGGAAACCUUUGCUCCUGUUGCCCGUCUAGAAGCCAUUAGGAUCCUUUUAGCCUUUGCAGCUUCAAAAGGGUUCAAGCUGUAUCAGAUGGAUGUGAAGAGUGCUUUCUUGAAUGGGUAUAUAGAGGAAGAGGUCUAUGUGAGACAACCCCCUGGCUUUGAAAAUCCUAAGUUUCCUGACCAUGUUUUUAAACUCCACAAAGCCUUGUAUGGUCUAAAACAAGCCCCGAGAGCCUGGUAUGAGCGUUUGAAAACCUUCUUGCUUGCAAAGGGUUUUAAAAUGGGUUCGGUUGAUAAAACUUUGUUUCUCCUCAAGCAAGGCACUGACACUCUUUUGGUUCAGAUAUACGUGGAUGAUAUCAUUUUCGGUGGCUCUUCUCAUGCACUUGUUGGCAAGUUUGCAGAAACAAUGAGCAGGGAAUUUGAGAUGAGCAUGAUGGGCGAGUUGACGUUCUUUCUUGGUUUGCAAAUCAAGCAAACUAGAGAAGGGACGUUUGUGCACCAAGGCAAGUACACCAAGGACGUACUCAAGAAAUUUGAUAUGGGCGAGGCCAAGCCUCUCUCGACGCCCAUGUCGACCACGACGGCCCUGGAUGCAGAUGAAGAAGGAGAAGCUGUGGACCAGAAGGAGUACCGAAGCAUGAUUGGGUCACUACUGUACCUGACGGCGACAAGACCGGACAUCCAGUUCGCGGUCUGCUUGUGUGCGCGCUUUCAGUCUUCGCCGCGCACAUCUCAUCGUCAAGCCGUCAAGCGGAUCUUGAGGUACCUUCGUUUCACACCUGAGUUUGGUCUUUGGUUUUCAGCUUCCUCCUCUCUUUCUCUUUGCGGCUAUUCUGAUGCGGAUUAUGCCGGCUGCCGUGUUGAGCGUAAGUCCACGUCGGGGACUUGCCAGUUUCUUGGGACUUCUCUUGUGUCUUGGUCCUCUCGCAAGCAAUCCUCAGUUGCCCAAUCCACCACAGAAGCCGAGUAUGUUGCUGCUGCUGCUUGCUGCUCCCAGUUGCUUUGGAUGAUAGCUACUUUGAGAGAUUUUGGGUUAGAGUUUAGGCGAGUGCCUCUGCUUUGUGAUAGCACCAGUGCUAUAAGCGUUGCUAAAAACCCAGUUCUCCACUCAAAAACCAAGCAUAUAGAUGUCCGCUUUCACUUCCUGCGUGACCACUAUGAGAAAGGAGAUAUUGACCUACACCAUGUUGAUACCCAAAAUCAGCUUGCAGACAUCUUUACCAAACCCCUUGACCAAGCCCAGUUUGCUCGCUUGCGAGGGGAGCUUGGAGUUUGUUUCCCUUUUUAGUUGAGGGGCACUUUGGUUUUUUUGUACACUAGUUUUGUUUUCCUUUAGUUUCGCUUUUAUUUUAUUUUUGUAUCAUAUUGCAUUGCAUUUCAUCUCAUCAUGUAUAUUAGAGCAUUUUGAGCUUCAUGAUUAUAGUUGUUAGAUUGAGAUUAUGCUCUUUGUGAUAUGUCUUGUAUGUACAUGAUGGUGCUUGUCGCUUAGGCUCUUUUUGAUCACUUGAUGCAUGUUAUGAGCUAAGCAUGUUUUAUAACAUGUGAACUUGACAUAAACUUGUUGAAACCUGAAAAUUGUUCACCAUUGUGAUUGGCAACUAGCAUGUGUAGGAUGUGUUGAGAUCACUUGAGCUAUCAUUUAUAUGCUAGGUUGCUAUGUCUCAUGCUUUGAGUUAUACACUUGCUUUGACAACUUGUAAAUUCUUGUGCUAAAAAUUGAAAAUCAAGCUAAGUGAAAAGAAAAGAUCGAGAUGGGUCUGUACUGUCCUACGUCAAGGUAUCGAGACUGCUUCCAAUUGCACUUAUGGAUGAACUUGAGCCUUGUAGUGGAUGCCGAGAUCAUUGUCUUAAGCUUGCGAUUGUCUUUGACAUAGGCUUGGCAUGGUCGAUAAGUUGGUUUGAUGGUACAGAUAACCUCUUGCACUCACACAUGUUUUUGACUAAACCUUGUGAUAUGCUGCAAACUCCGAUAAAAUGAAAAUUUGAUGAAAACACAAGUCUAAAGUUAGUCUUUGACAUGAUGUAUGAACGCUGCUUGGGGUAGUUCACCUUGUAUACACUUGUUAGCACUAGGUUGAUUUCCUGCUUAUACCUGCUAUGUGCUACUUUCAGUGGUGAACUCCUUCUUACAAUUGCUUAAAAUUGAUCAAAAAUGCUUAAAUGUCAUAUUUCGUUUCACUUGAUCAGUUUGAGCAUUUGCUAGCACUUGUAAUUAUUGCUAUACACACAUGACAGCACCACCUAGAGCAUCUUUUCAAUCUGAUUGCUAUACUCCUGAAGCUUUUGUAUAUGUGCAUUUCUUGCAUUCAUAGCAUGUUUUGAGGGGGAGUUGCACUCCUUUGGGCAAAUCUUGAUAAGUGCAUGUGUCAACAAGGGGGAGAAAGUUACACACAAAAAGAGAGACAUGCAUUCAUUUGAGAGAGAUUGCAUUUGCUCCGGGGGAGUUGCAUUUGAGUUUUGAGUUGCUUUUGCUAGAUGUGUUGAGCCUUUGCCUCUUCUGGAGGGUCUAGUUGUUUUCUAGCUUUUCAAGUUUUGCUAGCGGUGUUGAGCCUGUUUGCCUCUUCUUGAGGGCUAGCUGUGUUUUACUUGGUUGUGUCGAGCCGUUGCCCAUGUCUUUGGGGACCAAGUUGUUGGCUUUGCUUUACUCAUUGUGAGUGACUCGUUUUGAGCUUACACUUAAGUUGGUUUUCUCUGGCUUUGUGUUGGUGUUGACAAUGCACUCAUCAAGGGGGAGAUUGCGAACAUAUGGUUUUUACAUAACCAUUGUGGAGUACCCUUGUUGUCUGAUGAGCGAUUGUCAACAUGCCAACAUUUUGGUGGAUUGUUGGUUCGCUGGUUCUACUGAUAUCCUGGCACAGGGUUAUGUGUCGAAACGGUGUCUCUUGGCUUCGUUAUGUGCAGGUGUGGAGUCUGGAUGCGGUGGCAGCGGUCGGGUGAAGGUCAAGUAGGGCGUGCCGUGCUGACGGACCGGUUGCGGUGAAAGGCGGACGUGAGGCUUGGACUGACGGACCAGACGACCGGGUGGCCAGCUGCGGUGGCUGACACUUGGGACAUCGAUAAGCGCAAGUGUACACGGCGGGGGACGCGUACGGGCUACGCUACUCGCGGCGGGUUUCGCGGGUUUGGGCCUCAAAACCCGGGCGGAGGUCCCGAUGUGGACGGAUGGCACGUGGCGGCAUCGGUGAGAUUGCUUCGGAGCGAGGCUACCGGUGAGGAGGCGCGGUGGCCGUCGGAUUUAGGUCAUGUCGAGUUGGACUAGAAUGCCCCUGGGGCUAGCUAGUUCGCUCAAAAAAUAUCUAAGGGCAAAUAGGGAAUGUAAAAUAGCCUCUAAAUAAGAGAGGGGUUGCCCCAAACCGUCUCUCUCUGAUUUUCGUUUUUCAUUUUAGACUUAGGUUUUCUUACCAACGUGAGCACUAGAGAGAUCCUUAGACUGUUCUGUGUAUUGUUGUGUUUGGAACCUGUGAUCUGAUGGGAAGUGAGGCCCUUACCUCACGUUGCCCUCUGGGGUUCGUUUCCUGGUGUUGGGUGUUCUGAGUCUGCUGUUCGUGACUCUCGUUUCCUUCCUGCUUCUUGCUUCUUCCAUUUGUGGAGUUGUUUUGGUGGGUUUCGAUUGAUCCAUGACGAGCUAUGACAUGUGCUGAGUUAAUUUAUUUAGUGAAUCACUUCAAUUUCACAUGAGCUCAUAGAUCGAUCCGAUAUUCGGUUUGGGGAGAAAAACUCGUUCUUUGUCCAAUCAAAAUAUUUUCUGGAGUUUGGGUCAGUCUCAAACAAUAAUUUUUGGGGAAUAGUUUCGUGGCCUGUUGAAUCUCAUUUAUCCAAAUUUUGGGAAUGAAUCGUUGAGUCCUUGUCCAGGUUUGUGGGAUUUUUGGAGCCGCUUUCCUCUGCUCGUUGUUCUGUUCGUGAGCUGUUCUUGGGCACUCGUAUACAGGCGUGCGUAGGGGCGCCCCUGGGUCCGGUGACAGCGGCACCAACACCGGCCCAGCUGCCGUGUGCGCUCACCAGAGCACCGCUCGUCCCUGGGAGAUGGAG